Molecule: unclassified non-coding RNA, 301 nt
Filed under: Glomeraceae sp.
Lineage: Eukaryota; Fungi; Glomeromycota; Glomeromycetes; Glomerales; Glomeraceae
Description: partial contains 5.8S ribosomal RNA and internal transcribed spacer 2
Rfam family: 5.8S ribosomal RNA (bases 1-71)
Source: RNAcentral
GUGAAUCAUCAAAUCUUUGAACGCAAAUUGCACUCCCUGGUAUUCCGGGGAGUAUGCCUGUUUGAGGGUCGUUAGAACAAAAAUCGACAUCGUUGCUGUUUCGCGGUGGCGUUCGUCGGAAAUUGGGUCAUCUUAAAUCCUUUUGAUUUAAGCGACUUAAAAUUUUCUUUUGGUUCCAUGAACGUUUCUAAGAUCUAUUUCUUUACACGUUUAAGGUAUCGAUUUUUACUAGACGUGACCAUCACAUCGGAUCGCGUCCAUAAUCUUUCAUUAACUGACCUCAGACAGGUAAGAGUACCCG